AAUCAAAGACUGAAAGACUCCUGGGUAG
RNAcentral lists this non-coding RNA (28 nucleotides) under Cricetulus griseus (Chinese hamster). Lineage: Eukaryota; Metazoa; Chordata; Mammalia; Rodentia; Cricetidae. The record is from RNAcentral.